GAGGAGGAGGACGCCAGCAGGUGUCGGCUGCGCUUGGCAAAGACUCUGAGAAGGAGCCAGACUCAGACGGGAGCUGCCGGCGUGGAGCAGGGAGGAGAGAGAAUGAGACUCCAAAUACUGUGCCCCUCAGUGCCGGGACUGCCGACAGAUCUCCGGACCCCCAGAUUCAGCCAGGUCCGACAGCGUGUGGGUGGUCCCCUGGACGCCGUGUGCUGCACAGGGACGCGCGCUUGGCCGCCAGCCGGGAGACCGGCUCAGACACGUGCCCCUGCUUCUUGAAGUUCGGCCUGGCUGCGUGACCGGCUUUGAGGCUUUGAAGGUCCUGGAUCCAGGCUGAUGAACGCACAGAUGUGAAUCCUGCCCUCCCCACCCCAAGCCGGGAGAGUGGCGAGGACUCCGAGGCCACGUUCUGAGCGGGAGGCACGCACCGUUCCUGAGACCUCCAGUGUCCCCGACCAGAACCGCCUGGGCCUCCGGGCCGGUCAUGCAUUGAGCGGACACACCCCUGCCUGGCCUCGGGGCCGGCAGCAGCGCCCACCUCUCCGGAGCCACGGUCGGUGCAGGAGGCCGCCUGAAGCUGGACGCCACCAGUGAGUGCGGGGCCAAAGCGCGUUGGACCGCGAGCCGGACGUCCACGCAUGGAUCCCGCCAGUCAGAAACCAGGUGGCCGGCACCAUCUGCCCUCAGCCCUCAUGGACUGCGCGGCUUUGAGAAAGAUACUUAACCUUCCAGGCCCGUUUCCUCUUCCGUGUCAGGGAGAGUGACUCCACCCCUGUGUCGGCUUGUCCAGCCGCGGUGCUUAGCGCCCAGCGCGGAGCCCAGUGUCAGCAUGUGCUUGUGUUACUGUCCUUACCGCGUACAGUGGUAAUACUGUGACCCCGAAACAGGACAGGGGACCUUCUUGGACUCGGGUUGUUAGCGAUUUUAUAACACGUGUGGUUUUUU
This is a long non-coding RNA of Leptonychotes weddellii (Weddell seal), 945 nucleotides long. RefSeq lists it as uncharacterized. Lineage: Eukaryota; Metazoa; Chordata; Mammalia; Carnivora; Phocidae. The record is from RefSeq and is a predicted model, not a curated record.